This 73-nucleotide small nucleolar RNA is filed under the name Pelodiscus sinensis (Chinese soft-shelled turtle). RNAcentral's name for it is "Small nucleolar RNA SNORD95 (ENSPSIG00000019874.1)". The record is from RNAcentral. Lineage: Eukaryota; Metazoa; Chordata; Testudines; Trionychidae.
CAGGCCGUGAUGAAACACACGAUGCAAUCUGACUGCUUCUCCGUGCGGAAACCCAGAGGCUGUUUCUGAGCCG